This is a non-coding RNA of Hordeum vulgare subsp. vulgare (domesticated barley), 126 nucleotides long. The record is from Rfam. NCBI's taxonomy places the organism in Eukaryota, Viridiplantae, Streptophyta, Magnoliopsida, Poales, Poaceae.
CAUAUACUCCCUCCGUCCAAAAUUACUUGUCCUAAAAAUGAAUAAAAUGGAUGUAUCUAUAUAACUAAAAUAAGUCUAGAUACAUUUACUUGUAGGACAAGUAUUUCCGGACGAAGGGAAUACUUC